GGAAUAUUGGACAAUGGGCGAAAGCCUGAUCCAGCCAUGCCGCGUGUGUGAAGAAGGCCUUCGGGUCGUAAAGCACUUUAAGUUGGGAGGAAGGGCUCAUAGCGAAUACCUGUGAGUUUUGACGUUACCAACAGAAUAAGCACCGGCUAACUUCGUGCCAGCAGCCGCGGUAAUACGAAGGGUGCAAGCGUUAAUCGGAAUUACUGGGCGUAAAGCGCGCGUAGGUGGCUUGAUAAGUUGGAUGUGAAAUCCCCGGGCUCAACCUGGGAACUGCAUCCAAAACUGUCUGGCUAGAGUGCGGUAGAGGGUAGUGGAAUUUCCAGUGUAGCGGUGAAAUGCGUAGAUAUUGGAAGGAACACCAGUGGCGAAGGCGACUACCUGGACUGACACUGACACUGAGGUGCGAAAGCGUGGGGAGCAAACAGGA
Molecule: unclassified non-coding RNA, 427 nt
Filed under: plant metagenome
Description: partial contains 5.8S ribosomal RNA, internal transcribed spacer 2, and large subunit ribosomal RNA
Rfam family: Bacterial small subunit ribosomal RNA
Source: RNAcentral